This 243-nucleotide ribosomal RNA is filed under the name uncultured bacterium. Its description in RNAcentral is "partial small subunit ribosomal RNA". It matches the Rfam family "Bacterial small subunit ribosomal RNA", at positions 26 to 285 of the family's 1533-position model. The record is from RNAcentral.
AGAAUCAACGCUGGCGGCGUGCCUAACACAUGCAAGUCGAACGAGAAAGUGGAGCAAUCCAUGAGUAAAGUGGCGCACGGGUGAGUAACACGUGACUAACCUACCCUUGAGUGGGGGAUAACCUCGGGAAACCGGGCUAAUACCGCAUAACAUCGAGAGAUCAAAGGAGCAAUUCGCUUAAGGAGGGGUCGCGGCUGAUUAGCUAGUUGGUGAGGUAAUGGCUCACCAAGGCUAUGAUCAGUA